Molecule: ribosomal RNA, 450 nt
Filed under: uncultured bacterium
Lineage: Bacteria
Description: partial 16S ribosomal RNA
Rfam family: Bacterial small subunit ribosomal RNA
Source: RNAcentral
GUGGGGAAUAUUGGACAAUGGGCGCAAGCCUGAUCCAGCCAUGCCGCGUGUGUGAAGAAGGCCUUCGGGUUGUAAAGCACUUUUGUCCGGGAAGAAAUCUUCCAGGUUAAUACCCUGGGAGGCUGACGGUACCGGAAGAAUAAGCACCGGCUAACUUCGUGCCAGCAGCCGCGGUAAUACGAAGGGUGCAAGCGUUACUAGGAAUUACUGGGCGUAAAGCGUGCGUAGGUGGUUCGUUAAGUCUGCCGUGAAAGCCCCGGGCUCAACCUGGGAAUGGCGGUGGAUACUGGCGGGCUAGAGUGCGGUAGAGGGUGGUGGAAUUCCCGGUGUAGCAGUGAAAUGCAUAGAGAUCGGGAGGAACAUCUGUGGCGAAGGCGGCCACCUGGACCAGCACUGACACUGAGGCACGAAAGCGUGGGGAGCAAACAGGAUUAGAUACCCGGGUAGUCC